UCAUGGUAUUUGAUACACAAAAUAUAACUUGCAAACAUGCAAAAUUACACACAGAUUUGCAUAAAAACAGGGGUUUUAUUUUAUUUUAAUUUUAUCAUGUUUGGAGAAAACAUGAAAGAAAAAGACCCAAAGCUAUAUAUUUAUUUUUCAUCGGUCAUAAGCACCCCCAUACUUAGGCUGAAAGUUGAUCCAUCCGCACUUAAACGGAACCGCUGAAACCUUUAUUGUAAGCAUAUUCAACAAGGGAAUCCAACUCAUCAUUGGUGCAGUCGAUCAAAUUGUCCUUAUUUUUAUCAGCAACAUCCAUGGCCUCUUCAACUUGCUUGUUUGGCGUGAGUACACCUAGAUGUUCGAAAGCAUCCUUAAGCUGGUCCCUGGUGAGGCUGCCCUGCUUAGAGUAAGAUCGAAACACUUGUUCCAAUUUGUUUUUCUGAUCCUUGUUAUCCUUUGUGGCUUGCAUUGUGGAUUUUGAGGCUAUGACAGGGUGAUAUUAGAGAGAAGGCUUGCCUAGCUUAGUUUGGU
Molecule: long non-coding RNA, 522 nt
Filed under: Durio zibethinus
Lineage: Eukaryota; Viridiplantae; Streptophyta; Magnoliopsida; Malvales; Malvaceae
Description: long non-coding RNA (DZIB_LNC001518)
Source: RNAcentral